ACGAACGCUGGCGGCGUGCUUCACACAUGCAAGUCGAACGGUGAAGCGCCUUCCUUUUUGGUGGGUGUGGAUGAGUGGCGAACGGGUGAGUAACACGUGAGUAACCUGCCCCCUUCUUCUGGAUAACCGCAUGAAAGUGUGGCUAAUACGGGAUAUUCUGGGUCUGUCGCAUGAUGGGUCUGGGAAAGAUAUUGUUUCGGUGGGGGAUGGGCUCGCGGCCUAUCAGCUUGUUGGUGGGGUGAUGGCCUACCAAGGCGGUGACGGGUAGCCGGCCUGAGAGGGUGGACGGUCACACGGGGACUGGGACACGGCCCAGACUCCUACGGGAGGCAGCAGUGGGGAAUAUUGCACAAUGGGCGCAAGCCUGAUGCAGCGACGCCGCGUGAGGGAUGGAGGCCUUCGGGUUGUGAACCUCUUUCGCCAGUGAAGCAGGCCUGCCUCGUUUGUGGGUGGGUUGACGGUAGCUGGAUAAGAAGCGCCGGCUAACUACGUG
This 493-nucleotide ribosomal RNA is filed under the name uncultured bacterium. RNAcentral describes it as "partial 16S ribosomal RNA". It matches the Rfam family "Bacterial small subunit ribosomal RNA", at positions 29 to 507 of the family's 1533-position model. The record is from RNAcentral.